CCCUUAGAUGUUCUGGGCCGCACGCGCGCCACACUGAUGCAUUCAACAAGUGUACCUUGGCCGAGAGGCCUGGGGAAUCUUAUGAACGUGCAUCGUGAUAGGGAUAGAUUAUUGCAAUUAUUAAUCUUGAACGAGGAAUUCCUAGUAAACGCAGAUCAUCAAUCUGCAUUGAUUACGUCCCUGCCCUUUGUACACACCGCCCGUCGCACCUACCGAUUGGAUGGUCCGGUGAAGCCUCGGGAUUGUGACUAGUGCCUUUAUUGGUGUUGGUCGCGAGAACUUGUCUAAACCUUAUCAUCUAGAGGAAGGUGAAGUCGUAACA
RNAcentral lists this ribosomal RNA (322 nucleotides) under uncultured eukaryote. RNAcentral describes it as "partial 18S ribosomal RNA". It matches the Rfam family "Eukaryotic small subunit ribosomal RNA", at positions 1470 to 1796 of the family's 1831-position model. The record is from RNAcentral.